GGAUCGAUGAUGAGUCCCCAAAAAAACAUUCCUUGGAAAAUCUGAACAAAAUGAGUGAAACCCACUACCGUCUCUCUCAUCGGAUCUGAGGUCC
Molecule: small nucleolar RNA, 94 nt
Organism: Prolemur simus (greater bamboo lemur)
Lineage: Eukaryota; Metazoa; Chordata; Mammalia; Primates; Lemuridae
Gene: SNORD116
Rfam family: Small nucleolar RNA SNORD116
About the family: HBII-85 is a member of the C/D class of snoRNAs, which contain the C (UGAUGA) and D (CUGA) box motifs. HBII-85 is encoded in a tandemly repeated array with another C/D snoRNA, HBII-52, in the Prader-Willi syndrome (PWS) region of chromosome 15.
Source: Ensembl